GGACGAACGCUGGCGGCGUGCCUAAUACAUGCAAGUCGAACGGUCUUUUCUAUGGAAGCUUGCUUCCACUGAGAAGAUAGUGGCGAACGGGUGAGUAACACGUGGGUAACCUGCCCAUAAGAGGGGGAGUAACAUCCGGAAACGGGUGCUAAUACCGCAUAGUUUUCUUGAUCGCAUGAUCGGGAAGGAAAGACGGCCUUUGUGCUGUCGCUUAUGGAUGGACCCGCGGCGUAUUAGUUAGUUGGUGAGGUAACGGCUCACCAAGACGAUGAUACGUAGCCGACCUGAGAGGGUGAUCGGCCACAUUGGGACUGAGACACGGCCCAAACUCCUACGGGAGGCAGCAGUAGGGAAUCUUCCGCAAUGGACGAAAGUCUGACGGAGCAACGCCGCGUGAGUGAAGAAAAGGUUUUUCGGAUCGUAAAACUCUGUUGUCAGAGAAGAACAAGUUGGAGAGUAACUGCUCCAGCCUUGACGGUAUCUGACCAGAAAGCCACGGCUAACUACGUGCCAGCAGCCGC
RNAcentral lists this ribosomal RNA (521 nucleotides) under uncultured bacterium. Its description in RNAcentral is "bacterial SSU rRNA". It matches the Rfam family "Bacterial small subunit ribosomal RNA", at positions 27 to 518 of the family's 1533-position model. The record is from RNAcentral.